UGAACUUUACAGACGCGUUAUCGACACAUGAGAAACCGUACUCGUUGACAGGGAGCACUGGGUGAGUUUUGGCCAAAGCCACUGCCGCACUCAGAACGCGGAUGUGUCCACACCCACUGGACCUUCACCCCUGCCCCAGCAUCUCCCUGGCUGUGACUUCCGCGGGUGUUUCCUGCUGGCCUUCUCCUUGGGCAGAGUCGACCCCUCCAGAGCGAUGCAGUACGACGCGCUUCGUAAGACUGCAGUUUAGAGAGAGUGUUGACGGUUUGGGGGUGCCGUUUUACUGACGACUGACUUUCUCACUGUGCUUUAAGUGUGAAUUACUUGAUCUCUUCUCUGUGUUCUGAAAUUGUUCUUUGCAAGAUGCGCAUUUCACUGUGUCUCCUGUCUGUGUUGACGUGGGUGUGUGCUCUGAUGUUCAAGUGGUGCAGUGAGAGCAGCCGUGGUGAGGUGCCGGCGACGUGGGCAGCCAGCCGAUUUGCACAGAUCACCAAGCCAGUGAAGAUUAAAAGCCGUGAAAAGCCACCCAAGAGAAAAGGCCAGGUAGGCAUCUUCAAUAGUAGACCAACAUACGAACGCGAUUCUGACAAGGAACUUCACAGGCACUCCCGCCUGGCGAAUGCUUACCCUUGCAGAGAUACGAGAAAACAGUGAGUGAACUUAGUGUCUGAUUUUUUCCUAAGAUUUUAUCAUGA
Molecule: long non-coding RNA, 695 nt
Filed under: Aotus nancymaae (Ma's night monkey)
Lineage: Eukaryota; Metazoa; Chordata; Mammalia; Primates; Aotidae
Description: lncRNA (ENSANAG00000039195.1)
Source: RNAcentral